AGUGAACGCUGGCGGUAGGCCUAACACAUGCAAGUCGAACGGCAGCACAGUAAGAGCUUGCUCUUACGGGUGGCGAGUGGCGGACGGGUGAGGAAUACAUCGGAAUCUACUUUUUCGUGGGGGAUAACGUAGGGAAACUUACGCUAAUACCGCAUACGACCUACGGGUGGAAGCAGGGGAUCUUCGGACCUUGCGCGAUUGAAUGAGCCGAUGUCGGAUUAGCUAGUUGGCGGGGUAAAGGCCCACCAAGGCGACGAUCCGUAGCUGGUCUGAGAGGAUGAUCAGCCACACUGGAACUGAGACACGGUCCAGACUCCUACGGGAGGCAGCAGUGGGGAAUAUUGGACAGUGGGCGCAAGCCUGAUCCAGCCAUACCGCGUGGGUGAAGAAGGCCUUCGGGUUGUAAAGCCCUUUUGUUGGGAAAGAAAAGCAGCAGGUUAAUACCCCGCUGUUCUGACGGUACCCAAAGAAUAAGCACCGGCUAACUUCGUG
This 492-nucleotide ribosomal RNA is filed under the name uncultured bacterium. RNAcentral describes it as "partial 16S ribosomal RNA". It matches the Rfam family "Bacterial small subunit ribosomal RNA", at positions 29 to 507 of the family's 1533-position model. The record is from RNAcentral.